GAUUCGACCUUCGGGUCUAUCUUCUCUUCAGCUGUGCGCUUUGGCUCCACGUUGUUGAAUCUCACACACCUGUGCACACUUCGGUUGUGACCUGUUAAAUCAGGCCGCAUCCGCUUUUACAUUUAACAACCAAGUCAAGAAUGUCAAAUACAAUAAAAUAACAACUUUUAACAACGGAUCUCUUGGCUCU
This 190-nucleotide unclassified non-coding RNA is filed under the name rhizosphere metagenome. Its description in RNAcentral is "partial ribosomal RNA internal transcribed spacer region". The record is from RNAcentral.